This 346-nucleotide ribosomal RNA is filed under the name uncultured bacterium. RNAcentral's name for it is "bacterial SSU rRNA". It matches the Rfam family "Bacterial small subunit ribosomal RNA", at positions 28 to 371 of the family's 1533-position model. The record is from RNAcentral.
GACGAACGCUGGCGGCGUGCUUAACACAUGCAAGUCGAGCGGUAAGGCCCUUUCGGGGGUACACGAGCGGCGAACGGGUGAGUAACACGUGGGUGACCUGCCCUCAGCUCUGGGAUAAGCCUGGGAAACUGGGUCUAAUACGGAUAUGACUCCAUGACGCAUGUUGUGGGGUGGAAAGCCUUGUGCGGCUGAGGAUGGGCCCGCGGCCUAUCAGCUUGUUGGUGGGGAUGAGUCGGCCUACCAAGGCGACGACGGGUAGCCGGCCUGAGAGGGCGACCGGCCACACUGGGACUGAGACACGGCCCAGACUCCGUACGGGAGGCAGCAGGUGGGGAAUCUUGCGCAA